This is a long non-coding RNA of Actinia tenebrosa (Australian red waratah sea anemone), 607 nucleotides long. RefSeq lists it as uncharacterized. NCBI's taxonomy places the organism in Eukaryota, Metazoa, Cnidaria, Anthozoa, Actiniaria, Actiniidae. The record is from RefSeq and is a predicted model, not a curated record.
GAGUUGGGACCCCCAACCCCUAUACUACUAACUAGUCUGUUGGUCUCCCUGUGUCAUGGUGAGAAACGACCAAUGAUCGAUCAGCAUAGACUAUACGGAAAGACACUGGACCUCUUGUGUCUCCAUACAUGAAGUACCAAGCCUGGAGCAAUAUAUAUGUCCCAUCAGCCCCUUCGGUCGUCAUACAUCUUUGUAAUCGUGUGAUGAAGGUUAUGGAGAGACGAAAAUUCUUCAUUUAUAGACGGUGAUUAACAACAUAUGGAGAUGAUUAUGAUUGCCUUCCUCUUCUCCCUCCGUCUUUCUGAUAAACAUAUCUGCUGGUGUGUUAAUGUAUUACUCUUGCUAAUGAAAAUAGCAGAUAUUCUUAAGCAAAACAUUACUAUCUGCAGUAGGGGUUUCAUGAGUGAGUGCUGCUCAUCAAAACUGAAACAUUUUGGAUCUGAACAUGCAUGCUUUCUCUGAAUAUCAUUUSAUUGCUUACAUAAUACUCACAGUUUAGUGUUGUGUAUGGAAGCAUUACACWUGAAAAUAGCACUUGGAUGAAACCUGCCAUGCUUAAUUAUGUACAUGUUAAGACAACUUGAACAGGAGAGUUCUUAUUUUUUGA